AACGAACGCUGGCGGCAUGCCUAACACAUGCAAGUCGAACGAGACCUUCGGGUCUAGUGGCGCACGGGUGCGUAACGCGUGGGAACCUGCCCUUAGGUUCGGAAUAACUCCCCGAAAGGGGUGCUAAUACCGGAUAAUGUCUUCGGACCAAAGAUUUAUCGCCUUUGGAUGGGCCCGCGUUGGAUUAGCUAGUUGGUAGGGUAAAAGCCUACCAAGGCGACGAUCCAUAGCUGGUCUGAGAGGAUGAUCAGCCACACUGAGACUGAGACACGGCCCAGACUCCUACGGGAGGCAGCAGUGGGGAAUAUGGGACAAUGGGCGAAAGCCUGAUCCAGCAAUGCCGCGUGAGUGAUGAAGGCCUUAGGGUUGUAAAGCUCUUUUACCCGGGAUGAUAAUGACAGUACCGGGAGAAUAAGCUCCGGCUAACUCCGU
RNAcentral lists this ribosomal RNA (432 nucleotides) under uncultured bacterium. RNAcentral's name for it is "partial 16S ribosomal RNA". It matches the Rfam family "Bacterial small subunit ribosomal RNA", at positions 29 to 506 of the family's 1533-position model. The record is from RNAcentral.